CCACGGUUUGCUUUAAUUUUGGUGGAGGGAAAAUAGGCAGUUCACUAGAUGUAAUGUUAUUUUACAGUUUCUCUUACUGCUGAGAAGCUCCUGCUUUUUUAUUUUUCUAAUUUGAGAGAUUUUGAAAUAAUUCGAGUUGUCAGAGAAGUGAGUGUGUGCAAGGAGAUACUCUGCAUCUUUGCAGCUAAAUUUGGGAGAGGGAGAAUCAGGACUUCUGGUUUCAAUUUCUCUCCUCUGAAUCUUUUCCUCUGAACGUUUUAUUUAAACUAUCUCACAGUCGUGCUGAAUAGACCCGGGGACUGGGGGAGGAAGCUCUCCACUAGUUACCAUUCAAAAGGUGUCGGCUAAAAUCUCAUUGCAAAAAGGUAUUGUAGCUUUAACAUCUUGCAUUGGCAGCAUUCUUCCCCCUUAGUCUUUGGAUUAGUCAUUGUAUGAGAGACAGAAAAAAAAAAUCACUUUUUUUUUUUUUUUGGAAAAAGUAAAGUAAACAGCCUCCAACAAGUGAACCUUGACAACCCAGAUUAAGGAAGGCAGGAGAGAUCAAACAAAGCUGCUGCUGGGCUGUUGUCAGGAACUGCCUCACUGAAAGCUCUGGACUAUUCGACCAGGCAGCAAGGCUAUAUGUUCACUUAUGCAGAAAUGGACCAUUACAAAUGUUGAGCUUUGUUGUGAAACCGAAGGAUAACUUUGAGAAAAAUAACUACUAUUUCAAACAAGAGCUGCAGAGGAGAAGGCGUUUCGCUCAUGUAAUGUUGAAAACAGCGUACAAGUUCUGUGGAAUUCAGCUUUUUAUUUCUGGAUCUCUGAAUUUUACAGCUAAAUAGAUGGAGGUGGUGGCUGCUGCUGCAGCAGACCUGGCUGCUUCUCACUGUCUGCUCCCGAGCAUGUGAUCCCUGCGCUUCUGCUGACUCCCAUCUGACCAGCGAGUGAGAUGACUUGGGAAGCUAAACCAGCAGAAAAUGAACUUGAGCAAGAAAAAAGUUUUCUGCUGGUUGAACAUGCCAAUUUGACUCUUUGGAGGUCAGACAAAUAAUGGGACUAAUGCGAGGAGAGGGAGAGGACCACCGCCUUGAGAAGCUGCUGGCCUCCUGGUUGGCUUAGCUAUUACAUGAAACCUCUGCCAAAGGCUCUGCUUUCAGCCUUUUGUCUGGAUCCACGCUUCCGUGCGGACGAGAGGUAUGCUUAACCUUAACCAAAGCCCUGUGUUUCUUGGCUCUUUGUCCUGCAGCACUCCAAGGAGAGAAUAGCUUGGGGUCUCUGGCUUUCUUCCUUUUCCCCAUCUUUGGGGUGAGCCAGUGUGAUAUAGUGCCCUUCUCCUGGAGGUGUCUUUGGGGCAUGCACACGUGCGUGCUUGGAGCAGUGGAAAGAGCUUGUGCUGUGUGAGCUGGGCAGCAAAGGGUGGAGGAGCCCCAUGGUGAG
RNAcentral lists this long non-coding RNA (1419 nucleotides) under Struthio camelus australis. RNAcentral describes it as "lncRNA (ENSSCUG00000015428.1)". Lineage: Eukaryota; Metazoa; Chordata; Aves; Struthioniformes; Struthionidae. The record is from RNAcentral.